Molecule: long non-coding RNA, 587 nt
Organism: Achroia grisella
Lineage: Eukaryota; Metazoa; Arthropoda; Insecta; Lepidoptera; Pyralidae
Exons: 3
Source: RefSeq, a predicted model, not a curated record
GUUUCGUAUUACAUUGUGUGUGAAUCAGUGUCUUCUAUCCUCUUAUAUGUGUAUAUUUUUAAUUUUGUUGUAGAAUAAAAAAAAUCAAUAUGUGUUGCGUCUGUUCAAUGUUGUGUAAGAUCAUCAGUUGCGUGUCCACACUACUUGUAAUUGCAGCUAUAGUUCUAAUCGUACUGUGGGUUAUGAACGUAUUUAGUUCCGAUGACAAUACCCCCUCUCACGAAGAGCUUUUGAAACGCGCUGUUCGGUCACCGAAAUUCAUAUUGCAAAUGUGAAUUAAAUAAUUUUAAUAAAUAGUCAUAAACAAAUGUAAUAUGCUAAAAAAUUUAUAAAAUACCACUUCACUUAAAAUAAUGCAACAAUUAAUGAAAAUUUUAGUUAUAACUUGUCUAAUAUUGUAUUCAAAUUCUAAGAAUCAGAUACAAGGGAGUGCAUUUAGAUGAUUGAAUAUAUGGUCAUCUAAUAUUAAAGUCUCAAUUCGAUCAUCAAUCGAUCGAUUUAAAAAAAGAAGAUAUCGUAUUCAAAUCCUUGAUGAGUCAAGGAGAUCCCUGAAACGAUUUUAUUCAUUUUUUUAUUAUCGAUUGUUC